Molecule: long non-coding RNA, 783 nt
Organism: Balaenoptera musculus (blue whale)
Lineage: Eukaryota; Metazoa; Chordata; Mammalia; Artiodactyla; Balaenopteridae
Source: Ensembl
CGGAAACAGACAGACAAGAACAGGGAAAGGACGUAGAGGAGAGGAAAAGCAAAAACCUGGCAUCCACUGAGAGCUACUGUGUGCAGGCGCCUGGGCCCACCAAGGCAGCAGAUGUGCCCUGCCCCUGGACUCCCAUCGGGUGAAGAGGAACCUGAUUCCCCAUCACGGGCAAAAGCAGCAGAGGCCCCGAGGGUCAGGGCCCCCGUUGAAGAGAGGAUGAGGCCACAUUCUCCUCUGUCCACCUAGGUCUGUCUGUCUGUCUGUCUCCUGUGUCUCUGCCUCUCUCCUCCAUCUCUCUGUCUCUAGGUCUGGGUCUCUGUCUCCACCCCAUUCCCUAUCCCCUUCCGCACCCUUCUUAACCUCUCGUCCCCAAUCCUCCCCCCUUCCUCCCUGCUCGCGCCCCUCCUUCUCCCUCUCCCUCCACCUUCGGCCGGCAGGGGGCGCUGCGGGGCGGCCUCGGCGGCCCGGGGAGGCGGGGCGGGCGGCGGCCGCGUCGGGACUCGCCGCGAUGGGACCGGAGACGGCGCGGGCGGCGGCGGCGGCGGCGCAGACAAAGGCGCGGGCGGUGCGGAGGGCGGCGCGGAGGGCGCGGGCCCCGGAGCCAGCGAGCGAGCGGGGCGCCCGUCUGUGGGGAGUCGGCGCCGCGGGGCCGCACCCGCUUAGCGCCCGGACACUUGCGGGGCGCCGAGCCGGCAGGGCUGGAGGCUCCCUGGGGAUUUGGACUUUGACUCCAAGAGGCCAAGCCAGCAGUUCCUACCAUCCCCCUGGCUGUCCCUUGGAGCC